GAUGAACGCUGGCGGCGUGCUUAACACAUGCAAGUCGAACGGGAUCCAAGGGGUGCUUGCACUUUUUGGUGAGAGUGGCGAACGGGUGAGUAACACGUGAGUAACCUGUCCUUUUCUUUGGGAUAAGCAUUCGAAAGGGUGUUUAAUACCUUAUGUUCUGUCUGCCUCGCAUGGGGUGGGUGGGAAAGGCUUUGGCCGGAUUUGGGUGGGCUCGCGGUCUAUCAGCUUGUUGGUGGGGUGAUGGCUUACCAAGGCUUUGACGGGUAGCCGGCCUGAGAGGGUGGUCGGUCACAUUGGGACUGAGAUACGGCCCAGACUCCUGCGGGAGGCAGCAGUGGGGGAUAGUGCACAAUGGGCGAAAGCCUGAUGCAGCGACGCCGCGUGGGGGAUGAAGGCCUUCGGGGUGUAAACUUCUUUUGCUCUGAACAAGGCAUGCCAGUGGGUGUGUUGAGUGUAGGGGUUGAUUAGCGCCGGCUAACUACGUG
This 485-nucleotide ribosomal RNA is filed under the name uncultured bacterium. Its description in RNAcentral is "partial 16S ribosomal RNA". It matches the Rfam family "Bacterial small subunit ribosomal RNA", at positions 28 to 507 of the family's 1533-position model. The record is from RNAcentral.